CUUUUACCGGUAUGCAUAAUUCAAUAUUGCAAUAGAGUUGCCUCCCUUAGCAAUAUUGGGGCCUCUCCACUGACAUCAACUUUCGAUCUCCACUUGACGUACAGCUUGACUGGAACUCUUCUGCAUAGUCAACAGCAACGUUACCAGUGAAAAUGUUUGGGAAGAUUGCAUUUUUCUUGGCUGGUGUCUCAUGAGGCAUAUUUGCAGAUCAACACUACCGCGUUACCCCGAGUAGAUAAUCCUCAGGAUAUCUGGGCCAAGGUGAAGGAGUUUUCAGAAAAAUACAAGAAAGAUGACGCAGGAUCAUCAAAGGACUAGACCAUGAUGAUAACCACAAACACCUGAGAUAAAUCUCUAUGAAUGGUGUGCUGUAGGACAUGAACAUGGGCAUGGAUGUUGAGAAAUGACUUAGAGCCUCUCCUGCUGAUCUUCAAGAAUCUGACAGUAUUGAGUAUAUUUAUAUACAGUUUGGCCUCGUCAAUCAUUUUCUGAUGGAGAAAGAGUUCUGAAGCCAUUAUCAAAUUUACUGAGUAUCUGUGGUUGGGAUUCCCAGCCAUUCCUUGUGUGUCGUAGCAACACAUGACAAGAUAUAUACCUGGAAAAUAUUUAAGCAUCGUAAGUGUAUCCCGGUAUUUCGACACAAAAUAGAAACAUUUUUAAAAUUGUAUCCUGCUUUUGUUUCCAGCACCAUGACUAGGAUUACAAAGUAACACUACUGACUAAUUCCAGCUAGUUUGAAGCUGCUUUGUGUGAAGUAGCCAGAUCUGGAGGAAAAACAACUUGUCUCUCUCCAUUUUACACUCGUCUCUGCUUAAGGACUUGUGGCCAUGUCCAUCCCUGCGCAAACUGAAAUACAGAAACCAACAUGGAUAUGAAAUGGAAGUUAUUUGAUGACUAACUUUUACAUUAGUUCCCCGCUCCUUGCUUCACUUCUUAUUCUGACUGACUUUUGUCAGGAAUUGGUAGAAACAUCAUAGGUAGGUAUUUCCAAACAUUUAGGAAGCGUGAAAAUAUAAGAGUGGUGUUUAAUUUUAUUUCAGGUGUAUAUUUACUUUAGUUGUCAAGCCCUAUUUAUGACCUAUCAUAUCUGUUAAUGUCAUGCAACACUUGAUGACCAUCCUCCAGCGACUAUACUGAUUCACACCAUUCAGGUUAUCACUUAGCGUCAUGACUGUUACAUAAAGCCAUUGAAUACUCUGUUUACAUGUAUAUAUGUAGCAACGUCCACAGAGAAUAUUUCAUCCACGGGUUGGCAAAGUAAUUUGGAUGUGUUGGAUUACUGAAUUCAUUCCCCUUUGUCAUGAGCCAUGCAUCAGGGAUGAGUCAUGUUAAAUCUACCCUGACGCUGAAGAGUUCUUGUAAGUGUUCUUGUAAACAUCUACAGUUCAUAUUUAAUUAUUACCAGUGCUGCCCAGUAAGGCUGAUUAAGGCAAUGUGAGAACAAAAUACUCUGGUAGAGCAGCAUGAUGCAUAAAUAACUUGGUUUAGUAAAAGAUGAAUUAUUGAAUUACAUUGAACAUUGCAUGGAAAUGAGUUAUUUUCUCUUUGUAUCGUAAGGUUUGUUUUAGAAGAGAUAACAAACAAUCACCCCAUAGCGAUAGGUUUACAUUGGUAGUAAUAGUUCAGGUAUUUUCAUCAUUGCUCCUUUUCUUACUCAGGAUUUCUUACAGAAUAUCUUUGACAAGUUUUGUGCUGUGAGAUUGAUGUGUGUAUGUUCACGUGAAGAACUGUAAGAAGAUGAAAAGAGUGAAAAUGUAUAAAACCCCUUCUCUUUGGUUAAUAGUCACUAAAACUAACAUGUUUGGAUGUGCAACAAACAGGUAGUUUAAUGGUGUAUAAUCAUUAAUCUCGGAAAUUAUGUUAUAUUGUGAUAUGGUAGUUAUAUUCUUGUUUAUGAUGAUCAAUCAUAAUUCAUAUUUGAGUAACUGAGGAAGAGAAUUUGUACAUAGACAACUGAAGUGAAUAAAGUAUUUUAUGAU
RNAcentral lists this long non-coding RNA (1979 nucleotides) under Haliotis rubra (blacklip abalone). Its description in RNAcentral is "uncharacterized LOC124273792". The record is from RNAcentral. Lineage: Eukaryota; Metazoa; Mollusca; Gastropoda; Lepetellida; Haliotidae.